UAACGCGUAGGUAACCUGCCUUGUAGCGGGGGAUAACUAUUGGAAACGAUAGCUAAUACCGCAUAACAAUGGAUGACACAUGUCAUUUAUUUGAAAGGGGCAAUUGCUCCACUACAAGAUGGACCUGCGUUGUAUUAGCUAGUAGGUGAGGUAACGGCUCACCUAGGCGACGAUACAUAGCCGACCUGAGAGGGUGAUCGGCCACACUGGGACUGAGACACGGCCCAGACUCCUACGGGAGGCAGCAGUAGGGAAUCUUCGGCAAUGGGGGCAACCCUGACCGAGCAACGCCGCGUGAGUGAAGAAGGUUUUCGGAUCGUAAAGCUCUGUUGUAAGUCAAGAACGAGUGUGAGAGUGGAAAGUUCACACUGUGACGGUAGCUUACCAGAAAGGGACGGCUAACUACGUGCCAGCAGCCGCGGUAAUACGUAGGUCCCGAGCGUUGUCCGGAUUUAUUGGGCGUAAAGCGAGCGCAGGCGGUUUGAUAAGUCUGAAGUUAAAGGCUGUGGCUCAACCAUAGUUCGCUUUGGAAACUGUCAAACUUGAGUGCAGAAGGGGAGAGUGGAAUUCCAUGUGUAGCGGUGAAAUGCGUAGAUAUAUGGAGGAACACCGGUGGCGAAAGCGGCUCUCUGGUCUGUAACUGACGCUGAGGCUCGAAAGCGUGGGGAGCGAACAGGAUUAGAUACCCUGGUAGUCCACGCCGUAAACGAUGAGUGCUAGGUGU
Molecule: ribosomal RNA, 724 nt
Filed under: uncultured bacterium
Lineage: Bacteria
Description: bacterial SSU rRNA
Rfam family: Bacterial small subunit ribosomal RNA
Source: RNAcentral